GGGCUUAUAGCUCAGUUGGUUAGAGCGUCCCGUUCACAUCGGGAAGGUCUCAGGUUCGAAUCCUGAUAGGCCCA
RNAcentral lists this transfer RNA (74 nucleotides) under Candidatus Levybacteria bacterium RIFCSPHIGHO2_01_FULL_40_58. RNAcentral's name for it is "tRNA-Val". It matches the Rfam family "tRNA". From Rfam's summary of the family: Transfer RNA (tRNA) molecules are approximately 80 nucleotides in length. Their secondary structure includes four short double-helical elements and three loops (D, anti-codon, and T loops). RNAcentral also lists the same sequence under 5 other names. The record is from RNAcentral. Lineage: Bacteria; Candidatus Levyibacteriota.